This is a non-coding RNA of Pelobates cultripes (western spadefoot toad), 330 nucleotides long. The record is from the annotation of a GenBank genome assembly. NCBI's taxonomy places the organism in Eukaryota, Metazoa, Chordata, Amphibia, Anura, Pelobatidae.
CUUAUUUUAGUUAGUAAUCUGGGGCACAUCAAGAUAUAACACUGGAUUAUGCCACCACUAUUCCACUCAUUGGUAAAUAUAUAGCAUUGAUCAAAGUGGUCAACACCUGUAUUGAUUACUGUGACACUGGUAAAACUAAACAUAUCAGUAUAGACAUCAUCACUUUAUCUAGAGUGUUCAGAGUCUGUAAGAAGGCUGUAGCCAAAGUAAGAAUUAUUCGCUUGCAAACAUAUAACUAUUUGCUUUCAUUGAAGCAGAAACAAAACUUGAAAUUGUGAAUGUUCUUUUCAAAGUAGGUUGAAGACUAAUGACCUGGAAUGUUAACUGUAG